Molecule: ribosomal RNA, 274 nt
Filed under: uncultured bacterium
Lineage: Bacteria
Description: partial 16S ribosomal RNA
Rfam family: Bacterial small subunit ribosomal RNA
Source: RNAcentral
AUACGAAGGUCCCAAGCGUUAUUCGGAAUCACUGGGCGUAAAGAGUACGUAGGCGGUUUGGUAAGUCAGGUGUGAAAUCCCGAAGCUCAACUUCGGAACUGCAUCCGAUACUGCCAGACUAGAGUAAUGGAGAGGCAGGUGGAAUUCUCGGUGUAGCAGUGAAAUGCGUGGAUAUCGAGAGGAAGACCAAUGGCGAAGGCAGCCUGCUGGACAUUUACUGACGCUGAGGUGCGAAAGCGUGGGGAGCGAACAGGAUUAGAAACCCCGGUAGUCC